CAUCCGCCCGAUUACUACGAGCCCCAGCUUAAAACUCAAAGGACUUGGCGGCGUCUCCACCCGACUAGAGGAGCCUGUUCUAGAACCGAUAACCCCCGUUUAAGCUCACCACCCCUUGUUUUCACAGCCUAUAUACCGCCGUCGUCAGCUUACCCUGUGAAGAAUAAUAGUAAGCAAAAUGGGCACAACCCAAAACG
RNAcentral lists this ribosomal RNA (197 nucleotides) under Apteronotus leptorhynchus. RNAcentral's name for it is "partial 12S ribosomal RNA". The record is from RNAcentral. Lineage: Eukaryota; Metazoa; Chordata; Actinopteri; Gymnotiformes; Apteronotidae.